Molecule: long non-coding RNA, 558 nt
Filed under: Helianthus annuus (common sunflower)
Lineage: Eukaryota; Viridiplantae; Streptophyta; Magnoliopsida; Asterales; Asteraceae
Description: sRNA HanXRQr2_Chr04g0164861
Source: RNAcentral
GAGUGAAUUACAAAUUUUGUCUUUAUCUUUAUCCCGACUUUCAGACGGUGUCCUUUAUCUUUAAAAUUGAUGAGUUUUGUACUUAAUAUUUGAAAAUCCUACACCUUAUGCCCUUUAGGUCUAACCCAGUACAAACCUCAUCAAUUUUAAAGACAAAGUACACAGCCUGAAUUUGAUAUAAAAAUUGAUGACAAAACUUGUAAUUUACUCUUCCCCAAAUAACGAAAGGUAAUGCAGAAUGAAAUACGGUGUCCUUAUGUGCGGACAACACAUAUCCUGAUUGGAUUGAAUUAUUUGCAAGACUCAAAAGUCAGCGGCCAUUUUGGUAAGUUUGUUGGUCAACAUGGCUGAUUUCGGAUACAUGAAACAUACACAUGAUAAUCAGGUUUUAAUGUUUUUGGAUGUGGUCUAAGGAACUAUGUAGUUAAUAUCCCGAUAUAUCACCCGAUAUAUCAGUGAUAUAUCGGUUAUCAGUCCCCUGCCGAGAUAUCGGUACAAAAUAUCAGUCAGAAUAUCGGUACCGAUAAUAUCGGUACCGAUAAUAUCGGUGAUAUUGAC